RNAcentral lists this ribosomal RNA (606 nucleotides) under uncultured bacterium. RNAcentral describes it as "bacterial SSU rRNA". It matches the Rfam family "Bacterial small subunit ribosomal RNA", at positions 64 to 669 of the family's 1533-position model. The record is from RNAcentral.
GAACGGGGUUUAUAUAACAGAACUCUCCGGAGGGAAGAUAUAUAAACCUAGUGGCGGACGGGUGAGUAACGCGUGGGCAACCUGCCCUGUACCGGGGGACAACAGCCAGAAAUGGCUGCUAAUACCGCAUAAGCCUGCUGUGCCGCAUGGCACAGCAGGGAAAACCACGGUGGUACAGGAUGGGCCCGCGUCUGAUUAGUUAGUUGGCAGGGUAACGGCCUACCAAGACAACGAUCAGUAGCCGGCUUGAGAGAGUGGACGGCCACAUUGGGACUGAGACACGGCCCAGACUCCUGCGGGAGGCAGCAGUGGGGAAUAUUGCACAAUGGGGGGAACCCUGAUGCAGCAAUGCCGCGUGGGUGAAGAAGCACUCCGGUGCGUAAAGCCCUGUCAGCAGGGAACACAAUGACAGUACCUGGACAAGAAGCCCCGGCUAACUACGUGCCAGCAGCCGCGGUAAUACGUAGGGGGCAAGCGUUAUCCGGAUUUACUGGGUGUAAAGGGAGCGCAGGCGGCGUGGCAAGUCAGAUGUGAAAACCCGGGGCCCAACCCCGGGAGUGCAUUUGAAACUGCCAUGCUGGAGUGCCGGAGAGGUAAGCGGAAUUC